RNAcentral lists this ribosomal RNA (253 nucleotides) under uncultured bacterium. Its description in RNAcentral is "partial 16S ribosomal RNA". It matches the Rfam family "Bacterial small subunit ribosomal RNA", at positions 524 to 776 of the family's 1533-position model. The record is from RNAcentral.
UACGAAGGGUGCUAGCGUUGUUCGGAAUAACUGGGCGUAAAGCGUAUGGAGGCGGAUCUUUAAGUCAGCGGUGAAAGCCCAGGGCUCAACCCCGGCGUUGCCGUUGAUACUGGAGGGCUGGAGUCUGGGAGAGGCGAGUGGAAUUCCGGGUGUAGAGGUGAAAUUCGUAGAUAUUGGGAGGAACACCAGUGGCGAAGGCGGCUCACUGGGCCGAGACUGACGCUGAGAUGCGAAAGCGUGGGGAGCAAACAGG